This 841-nucleotide ribosomal RNA is filed under the name Dietzia sp. RNAcentral's name for it is "bacterial SSU rRNA". It matches the Rfam family "Bacterial small subunit ribosomal RNA", at positions 20 to 873 of the family's 1533-position model. The record is from RNAcentral. Lineage: Bacteria; Bacillati; Actinomycetota; Actinomycetes; Mycobacteriales; Dietziaceae.
CUGCUCAGGACGAACGCUGGCGGCGUGCUUAACACAUGCAAGUCGAACGGUAAGGCCCCUUCGGGGGUACACGAGUGGCGAACGGGUGAGUAACACGUGGGUAAUCUGCCCUGCACUUCGGGAUAAGCCUGGGAAACUGGGUCUAAUACCGGAUAUGAACUCCUGCCGCAUGGUGGGGGUUGGAAAGUUUUUCGGUGCAGGAUGAGCCCGCGGCCUAUCAGCUUGUUGGUGGGGUAAUGGCCUACCAAGGCGACGACGGGUAGCCGGCCUGAGAGGGUGAUCGGCCACACUGGGACUGAGACACGGCCCAGACUCCUACGGGAGGCAGCAGUGGGGAAUAUUGCACAAUGGGCGAAAGCCUGAUGCAGCGACGCCGCGUGGGGGAUGACGGUCUUCGGAUUGUAAACCCCUUUCAGUAGGGACGAAGCGCAAGUGACGGUACCUGCAGAAGAAGCACCGGCUAACUACGUGCCAGCAGCCGCGGUAAUACGUAGGGUGCGAGCGUUGUCCGGAAUUACUGGGCGUAAAGAGCUCGUAGGCGGUUUGUCACGUCGUCUGUGAAAUCCCUCGGCUUAACCGGGGGCGUGCAGGCGAUACGGGCAGACUUGAGUACUACAGGGGAGACUGGAAUUCCUGGUGUAGCGGUGAAAUGCGCAGAUAUCAGGAGGAACACCGGUGGCGAAGGCGGGUCUCUGGGUAGUAACUGACGCUGAGGAGCGAAAGCAUGGGUAGCGAACAGGAUUAGAUACCCUGGUAGUCCAUGCCGUAAACGGUGGGCGCUAGGUGUGGGGUCCUUCCACGGACUCCGUGCCGUAGCUAACGCAUUAAGCGCCCCCGCCCC